Molecule: ribosomal RNA, 412 nt
Filed under: uncultured Geobacter sp.
Lineage: Bacteria; Pseudomonadati; Thermodesulfobacteriota; Desulfuromonadia; Geobacterales; Geobacteraceae
Description: bacterial SSU rRNA
Rfam family: Bacterial small subunit ribosomal RNA
Source: RNAcentral
GGGUGAGUAACGCGUGGAUAAUCUGCCCUGUGAUCUGGGAUAACACUUCGAAAGGGGUGCUAAUACCGGAUAAGACCACGGAGUCUUAGGACUCUGCGGUAAAAGGUGGGGACCUUCGGGCCUACCGUCAUCGGAUGAGUCCGCGUACCAUUAGCUAGUUGGUAGGGUAAGAGCCUACCAAGGCGACGAUGGUUAGCUGGUCUGAGAGGAUGAUCAGCCACACUGGAACUGAGACACGGUCCAGACUCCUACGGGAGGCAGCAGUGGGGAAUUUUGCGCAAUGGGGGAAACCCUGACGCAGCAACGCCGCGUGAGUGAUGAAGGCCUUCGGGUCGUAAAGCUCUGUCAGAGGGGAAGAAGUGUGCGGGUGCUAAUAUCAUCUGCGCUUGACGGUACCCUCAAAGGAAGCACC